Small nuclear RNA from Myotis lucifugus (little brown bat), 107 nucleotides. NCBI's taxonomy places the organism in Eukaryota, Metazoa, Chordata, Mammalia, Chiroptera, Vespertilionidae. The record is from Ensembl.
GUGCUUGCUUCAGCAGCACAUAUACUAAAAUUGGAACAACACAGGGGAGAUUAGCAUGGUCUCUGCACAAGGGUGACAUGCACAUUCAUGAAGUGUUCCAUAUUUUC